Molecule: ribosomal RNA, 417 nt
Filed under: uncultured Nitrospira sp.
Lineage: Bacteria; Pseudomonadati; Nitrospirota; Nitrospiria; Nitrospirales; Nitrospiraceae
Description: bacterial SSU rRNA
Rfam family: Bacterial small subunit ribosomal RNA
Source: RNAcentral
UCGAGAAUCUUCCGCAAUGGGCGAAAGCCUGACGCAGCGACGCCGCGUGGGGGAUGAAGGUCUUCGGAUUGUAAACCCCUUUCGGGAGGGAAGAUGGAGCGAGCAAUCGUUCGGACGGUACCUCCAGAAGCAGCCACGGCCAACUUCGUGCCAGCAGCCGCGGUAAUACGAAGGUGGCAAGCGUUGUUCGGAUUCACUGGGCGUACAGGGUGUGUAGGCGGUUUGGUAAGCCUUCUGUUAAAGCUUCGGGCCCAACCCGGAAAGCGCAGAGGGUACUGCCAGGCUAGAGGGUGGGAGAGGAGCGCGGAAUUCCCGGUGUAGCGGUGAAAUGCGUAGAGAUCGGGAGGAAGGCCGGUGGCGAAGGCGGCGCUCUGGAACAUACCUGACGCUGAGACACGAAAGCGUGGGGAGCAAACA